UACAGAGGGGGCAAGCGUUGUUCGGAAUUACUGGGCGUAAAGGGCGCGUAGGCGGCCUUCUAAGUCGAACGUGAAAGCCCCGGGCUUAACCUGGGAACUGCGUUUGAAACUGGGAGACUUGAGUGUAGCAGAGGGGGGUGGAAUUCCACGUGUAGCGGUGAAAUGCGUAGAUAUGUGGAGGAACACCGAUGGCGAAGGCAACCCCCUGGGUUAACACUGACGCUCAUGCACGAAAGCGUGGGGAGCAAACAGG
Molecule: ribosomal RNA, 253 nt
Filed under: uncultured bacterium
Lineage: Bacteria
Description: partial 16S ribosomal RNA
Rfam family: Bacterial small subunit ribosomal RNA
Source: RNAcentral